Long non-coding RNA from Scylla paramamosain (green mud crab), 365 nucleotides. RefSeq lists it as uncharacterized. NCBI's taxonomy places the organism in Eukaryota, Metazoa, Arthropoda, Malacostraca, Decapoda, Portunidae. The record is from RefSeq and is a predicted model, not a curated record. The transcript has 3 exons.
AGUCAAACAGAAAGAAGGACGUGGUAGGAAUCUGGGAGAAAGAAAGAACUCUUUGGAACACAAAGGGAAAGCAAGCGUACCUGAGUGGCCAGGGAAGGACGCCGUGGAAUACCUGGGAACAUUUUGAUUAGUCACACAUGAAUCUUGCAGGAGUUGUGACCUCAGCCUUGUGUCGCACGUGGGAAGAAAGCUACAAGAAAGUGAUGCUUGGAACCGUAUGGCGUUGUUUUGGUGCAUUAAAUUCAAUCAGUUAAUGAAACUGGUCUGUAAUUUGUGAAGAACAUUCAUCUUUACUAAAGUUUUGGGAGUAAGUGCUACAUUUUUUUUUUCCGCAAAACAGUGAUCUUCACGGAAUGUGUUGUUUA